AACGAACGCUGGCGGCAUGCCUCACACAUGCAAGUAGAACGAGACCUUAGGGUAAAGUGGAGAAAAGGUGAGUAAAGAAUAGGAAAAUGAAAUAAAGUUAGGCAUAAAUACAAGCAAGGGGUGCUAAACCCGGAUAAUGUCUUCGGACCAAAGAUUUAUCGCCUUUGGAUGGGCCCGCGUUGGAUUAGCUAGUUGGUAGGGUAAAAGCCUACCAAGGCGACGAUCCAUAGCUGGUCUGAGAGGAUGAUCAGCCACACUGGGACUGAGACACGGCCCAGACUCCUACGGGAGGCAGCAGUGGGGAAUAUUGGACAAUGGGCGAAAGCCUGAUCCAGCAAUGCCGCGUGAGUGAUGAAGGCCUUAGUGUUGUAAAGCUCUUUUACCCGGGAUGAUAAUGACAGUACCGGGAGAAUAAGCUCCGGCUAACUCCGUG
This 433-nucleotide ribosomal RNA is filed under the name uncultured bacterium. RNAcentral's name for it is "partial 16S ribosomal RNA". It matches the Rfam family "Bacterial small subunit ribosomal RNA", at positions 29 to 507 of the family's 1533-position model. The record is from RNAcentral.